This 484-nucleotide ribosomal RNA is filed under the name uncultured bacterium. Its description in RNAcentral is "partial 16S ribosomal RNA". It matches the Rfam family "Bacterial small subunit ribosomal RNA", at positions 29 to 507 of the family's 1533-position model. The record is from RNAcentral.
AUUGAACGCUGGCGGCAUGCUUUACACAUGCAAGUCGAGCGGCAGCACGGGGUUAACCCUGGUGGCGAGCGGCGAACGGGUGAGUAACACAUCGGAACAUGCCCAGUCGUGGGGGAUAGCACGUCGAAAGACGUGCUAAUACCGCAUACGACCUGAGGGUGAAAGCGGGGGAUCGAAAGACCUCGCGCGAUUGGAGUGGCCGAUGUCGGAUUAGCUAGUUGGUGGGGUAAAGGCCUACCAAGGCAACGAUCCGUAGCUGGUCUGAGAGGAUGAUCAGCCACACUGGGACUGAGACACGGCCCAGACUCCUACGGGAGGCAGCAGUGGGGAAUUUUGGACAAUGGGGGCAACCCUGAUCCAGCCAUGCCGCGUGAGUGAAGAAGGCCUUCGGGUUGUAAAGCUCUUUCGGCAGGAACGAAACGGUGUGCUCUAACAUAGCGUGCUAAUGACGGUACCGGAAGAAGAAGCACCGGCUAACUACGUG